GUGAGUCACCAAGGAAGGCAGCGGCAGCUCCACUCAGCCAGUACCCAGAUACGCUGGGAACCUUCCCCAGCCAUGGCUUCCCUGGGGCAGAUCCUCUUCUGGAGCAUAAUUAGCAUCAUCAUUAUUCUGGCUGGAGCAAUUGCACUCAUCAUUGGCUUUGGUAUUUCAGAAGUCUCUGUCUGGCUUUCAGCAAUGAAGGGUUUGGUUGUAGAAGUUCCAAGGCUUCCCUUAGCAUUGAUCUUUGCUUCCUGAACUGCAGGGAGACACUCCAUCACAGUCACUACUGUCGCCUCAGCUGGGAACAUUGGGGAGGAUGGAAUCCUGAGCUGCACUUUUGAACCUGACAUCAAACUUUCUGAUAUCGUGAUACAAUGGCUGAAGGAAGGUGUUUUAGGCUUGGUCCAUGAGUUCAAAGAAGGCAAAGAUGAGCUGUCGGAGCAGGAUGAAAUGUUCAGAGGCCGGACAGCAGUGUUUGCUGAUCAAGUGAUAGUUGGCAAUGCCUCUUUGCGGCUGAAAAACGUGCAACUCACAGAUGCUGGCACCUACAAAUGUUAUAUCAUCACUUCUAAAGGCAAGGGGAAUGCUAACCUUGAGUAUAAAACUGGAGCCUUCAGCAUGCCGGAAGUGAAUGUGGACUAUAAUGCCAGCUCAGAGACCUUGCGGUGUGAGGCUCCCCGAUGGUUCCCCCAGCCCACAGUGGUCUGGGCAUCCCAAAUUGACCAGGGAGCCAACUUCUCGGAAGUCUCCAAUACCAGCUUUGAGCUGAAC
RNAcentral lists this small RNA (768 nucleotides) under Pan troglodytes (chimpanzee). RNAcentral describes it as "processed transcript". The record is from RNAcentral. Lineage: Eukaryota; Metazoa; Chordata; Mammalia; Primates; Hominidae.